UGGAUGUGGGAAAGAACUAGAACCAAGAACUGAGUUUAACAACCAGAUGAUGGGAGAUGCUCAUUCGGCAUCAGGCGAAAAUGCUGAUUGGGCAGUGGGAUUUACAAGUUGAGUUCAGAGUAGAGGUCAGGACUGGAGACAUAAAUUUGCAAGUUGUCAGUAUAUUGAUGAUCUUGAAAACUGUUUUGGGCAUUAGAAAUAGGGCCUUGGUUGCCUGGGAUUGAUUACAAGCACUAAGGAAGUUUUUUUUGUUGUUGUUUUUUUGGUUUUUGUUUUGUUUUGUUUUGUUUUUUAGGUUAAAGAAAAAGGCCAUUCAUUAAAGGAAAUUAAAGAGCUCAGUGGACAGGAAGCAGGUGAAUGUACCUGUGCUAAACCGGACAUGGGAUUUUGUGCCAUAGGAAUUUCUGGAGCCACAGCAGUCUCAUGAGUUCCAGUAUCAUCAGUUCAGAAGCCUUUACUCCUAUAAAGAAGAUGGGGAUUCAUGCUCUAACACUUUGGAAGAGAAAGAAUCUGGCCACAGGAAAGGAUCUGAAGUCAUCAAAAAGUAAGUCAUAUCAUAUUUCUGUACCCAUGCUUUUAACUACUGUGCUAUGUUGGUUAUACAAAAUAGCCAUACUCCUCAAAACACCGGUAAAAACACUAUGCUGG
RNAcentral lists this long non-coding RNA (648 nucleotides) under Mustela putorius furo (domestic ferret). Its description in RNAcentral is "lncRNA (ENSMPUG00000030845.1)". The record is from RNAcentral. Lineage: Eukaryota; Metazoa; Chordata; Mammalia; Carnivora; Mustelidae.